AUUUAGAUAUUUUAAAAAAAAUAAUGAUUUGUGGUAUCAUUGAUGUAAAUAUAUUUUACUUUAAAUU
Molecule: transfer RNA, 67 nt
Filed under: Diadromus collaris
Lineage: Eukaryota; Metazoa; Arthropoda; Insecta; Hymenoptera; Ichneumonidae
Description: tRNA-His
Source: RNAcentral